UUGCUCUGAUGACUUCUUAGGACACCUUUGGAUUCUGAUGAAAACAACCUGUUGAACUCUGAGCGAC
Molecule: small nucleolar RNA, 67 nt
Organism: Amphiprion ocellaris (clown anemonefish)
Lineage: Eukaryota; Metazoa; Chordata; Actinopteri; Pomacentridae
Gene: SNORD58
Rfam family: Small nucleolar RNA SNORD58
About the family: snoRNA U58 is found in introns 1, 3 and 6 of the ribosomal protein RPL17 gene in humans.
Source: Ensembl